ACCAUUAUCUUCUCGACCCUCCAUUCACACACACGCACACACACACAUACACACGAGACUUAUCACAUACUUAUAUCUACUUGAAAGUCACACGGAGUCACUCUCAUUCACUUAUAAUCACUUCAUUUUUAUAAUUACUCUUUCACAUUUACGCCUCGUUUUCAAGAUGGGCAGUUUCAGAAGAGUGGCAUUGGGGUGGCUUGCAGUGGUGGUGGUGAUGCUGCUGGUGGUGCAGAGUGAAGGAGCGGUGUAUGGUGUUGGUAACAUGAUGUACAGACGGUACCCAAACGGACCGAAGGAAUACUGGAAUAGGCAAACAUCACAAGUGACUCCUCUGUUUCGGGGUGCGGUCUCUCCAGCCCAACAUCCAGCCCAAUAUCCAGCCCAACAUCCAGCCCAAUAUCCAGCCCAAUAUCCAGCCCAAUAUCCAGCCCAGUAUCCAGCCGUCUACUCUGCAAGAUACCGCGCCUAAGACUCUUCAGUUUCUACUAGGCAAUGAAGAUCUGGAUGCGUGAGGUGCUGGACUGACUAACCAAGGGAGUAACACCUGCCAUUCCUGCUCGUCUUGCCGUACGUGUCAUCCCUCGUGCUACAAACCUGUCUACCUGAUGCGCACCUGUUUCACACCUGUGUUCUGCCCCUAUGGAUUCUACAAGGCAUGUACAAGCAUGGUUAGGCAUUAGUGUACCUGUAAAUUCUGUACCUGUGGACUUUUGGCACCUGUAGAUUAGUAGUACCUGUGGAAAUUGCCUUCUUAUUAAAACUGUAGAGGUCUUGUUA
Scylla paramamosain (green mud crab) is the source of this 780-nucleotide long non-coding RNA. RefSeq lists it as uncharacterized. Lineage: Eukaryota; Metazoa; Arthropoda; Malacostraca; Decapoda; Portunidae. The record is from RefSeq and is a predicted model, not a curated record. The transcript is spliced from 3 exons.